GGUAUGUAGCUCAAUGGUAGAGUCCUUGCUUAGCAUGCAUGAGGCUCUGGUUUAAUCCCCAGUAUUA
This 67-nucleotide transfer RNA is filed under the name Marmota monax (woodchuck). RNAcentral's name for it is "tRNA.Ala". The record is from RNAcentral. Lineage: Eukaryota; Metazoa; Chordata; Mammalia; Rodentia; Sciuridae.